Molecule: long non-coding RNA, 1289 nt
Filed under: Mus musculus (house mouse)
Lineage: Eukaryota; Metazoa; Chordata; Mammalia; Rodentia; Muridae
Description: long non-coding RNA chr11:78553915-78555204
Source: RNAcentral
UUUUCAAACCUCCCAGUGUGAGAUAGAGCUGGGUAAAGGAAUGAAGAUUUGGUUAAAAAAAAAUUGGGCCAAGCAAAUUUAAUAAGCAGAGAAAUGUAUGUUAAGGUUUUUGAAAGAAGUCAUUUGUAAGAAAGGUGUCAAGAUGCAGGCAGACAAGGCUUUUGCAAUAUUUCUUGGAGUUCAUACAGAAAGUUAGUUCAUUGUUCCCUGAAAAGGGGUAUUGAGCCAUGAUACAUGGCAUAAGAUUGGUAAACAUUUGCAAGCAAGUGGGUACAGAUACAUGAAGGUGAAGAAACCCUGAGCUCACUCUCUUCUUGUGGGACACGAUUAAGUAAACCUGUUUUUUUUUUUAAGAUUUAUUAUUUUAUGUAUAUUGGCACACUAGCUGUGUAGCCUUCAUGUGAAGGUUGUGAGUCUUCGUGUGGUUGUUGGGAAUUGAAUUUUAGAACCUCUACUCUCUCUGGUUGGUCCUGCUCACUCAGGCCCAAAGAUUUAUUUAUUAUACAUAAGUACACUGUAGCUGACUUCAGACGCACCAGAAGAGGGCAUCAGCUCUCAUUACAGGUGGUUGGUUGUGAGCCACCAUGUAGCUGCUAUAGCUGCUGUGAAUUGAGCUCAGGACCUUCAGAAGAGCAGUCAGUGCUCUUACCCUCUGAGCCAUCUUGGCUGUCCGUACGCAAACCUUAAAGGCAGAAACAGUUGAUGAUCUGCCUCAUUCUAGCUCGGCUUUGGUAAACUCAACGUGCUCCAAUUUGAUUAGUUUGGUGGAAAUCACGCCUUUGUUAAGGUUACCAACAUCAGCCCUGCCCAGUCUGACCGAAGGCAUUACAGGCAAAUCUUGCUGUUCCUGAAAAUGAAACUAAAUGGGAAGAAAAGCCACCCUGUCCUGGUGGUGCUUGCAAUUUGGAAGAGGUGGCAGGUAUAUUGUUGAGACAAUUAGGUUAUGAAAAUACCAAUAAAACCUGCAGAGAUCUGCUUGGGCCUGCAAGACAUUCUGGAAAUAUUAGAGGUUUUGUCUGCCUCUGUGCUGCUGACUUUACACCCUCUAUGGUGCAAGGGCCUGCAAUGGUGGCAGCUUUCCAGGGUUUUUUUCCCCAUUUCAAAAUGGGGGCCCAUCGUUGACUUUGAGCUAUUCUUUGGCUGCUCUCAAACACCCCUUCUCUCAGAAACCCCUCUCCAAGCUGAAACUGGUCCUUUGCAGGCCUUGAACUCAUAGAGUGAGGGCUCUGACUCCUGAGUGCUGAAGUUGAAGGUGUGCACCACCACCUCCCAGCCAAAGUAAUUUCUCU